This 1062-nucleotide long non-coding RNA is filed under the name Homo sapiens (human). RNAcentral's name for it is "HSALNT0289968". The record is from RNAcentral. Lineage: Eukaryota; Metazoa; Chordata; Mammalia; Primates; Hominidae.
UUAUCUCCAUUUCAACGGGACGAUUCUGGACCGCAGUGAUCACAGCCCCCCUUUCCCUCACUGAGACUUACCAGAAGGGACUCUGCACAGGGAAAGGCUCAUUGGUGGGGCUGCCUGGGAGAACUCCCAAGACACACAGGUGGAGCCUUUCCCGAAGGCCAAGUAUGGAGCAAUUAUCUCGCGUCUUCAUCCAUCAUCGGAAAUCCUAACUGAAGCUUUUGAGCCGAAUUCCAAAGCUUUAUGGACGCCCUUCCGUCCGGAGCUCCCUGGAGCUGCGCCUCGUGGGCUGUGAUUUACACAGGGGCUGAGGCUUGGGCCUGAGUUGGUUCCAGAUCAUAGGGACUGUGACAAGCCUGAAGACCCUUCUCCCUAUCCCAGGAGGAGCCCAGGAACGCAAGCGAGAGCCUCUGCAAGUCACCCCAGCUGCCGCGUUUCCACCCAGGAGGAAGACGCACGUGGGGCGGCACGAGAGAUAGACGGAGGAUUGAAAGAAGUAGCCAGUGAGCCAGAUAAGAUGAGCCAGGACACACGAUGCUGAUGGGUCAAGGAAGAAGAGCUUUAAUCAGCUGGUCAGUUUCUAAGGCUUUCAUCCAAGGAACCCUCAUUGAUGUGAAACAACAAAGUGAGACUUCCAUCCUCGAAUGUGCAGCCAGGAAGUGGCAGAAAGGAGCUUUGCAUAAACUUCUUCUCAUUUCAAAUCCUAUGCUCUUUCUCCCACGCCUCAGCCAUUUGCCUUUAAAAUCAAUUGCAUCCUGAAGUGAAGAGCUUUGCAAGAACAGUGCUAUCAGAAACAACCAUACUCCACCAGAGCAAUCACAGCACCUCCCAGAACCCCUGGGACUUUUGCUUGGACUCGGGCAAGUGAGUAGACAGCUCGGAUGGGGCGAGCACCUGCUGGUUCAUCCACCAAAUAUGAACAUGGCCCAAGAGUGAGACCCCAAGACCCGAAAUUGCACCAAUGACUAUAGCUAUACAAGAAAAUGCCACUGGACAAAUUUUGCAGAGGUUUCUUUAUUGUUGCUGUUCUCAGCAAACCUAAGAAGUCAUUUCAGUUUGUCUCAG